This 1771-nucleotide ribosomal RNA is filed under the name Stomatricha hochbergi. Its description in RNAcentral is "SSU rRNA". It matches the Rfam family "Eukaryotic small subunit ribosomal RNA". Lineage: Eukaryota; Metazoa; Xenacoelomorpha; Acoela; Convolutidae. The record is from RNAcentral.
GCUUGUCUCAUAGAUUUAGCCAUGCAUGUGUAAGUGAAACUUGAAAAAGUGAAACCGCGAAUGGCUCAUUAAAUCAGUUACUAUCCAUUUGUUUAGUUACCAGUUAUAUGAAUAACUGCGGUAACCCUGCAGCUAAUGCAUGCAGAUUGCUCGAUCUUGCUGAGUGCGGACGAGAACUUUUACAAGAAUUCGCCGGGUGACUUCGAUUGAAUGGACAUGCCGGAUGAAUCCAAGUAACUGAAAGAUCCCAGACGCCAAAUUGGCUGGGGACGAAACUUACGAGUUUCUGACCUAUCAACCUAAGACGGUAAGGUAACGGCUUACCGUGGUUGUGACGGGUAACGGGGAAUCAGGGUUCGAUUCCGGAGAAGGAGCCUUAGAAACGGCUACUACAUCCAAGGAAGGCAGCAGGCACGCAAAUUACCCACUCUCGGAACGAGGAGGUAGUGACGAAAAAUAACCAUAUGAACCCUUGUGGUUUGUAAUGGGAAUGGAAGUGAUGCAAAAGCUCACUUGAUGAACUAGUGGAGGGCAAGUCUGGUGCCAGCAGCCGCGGUAAUACCAGCCUCCACAAGCGUAUGCAAAAGUUGCUGCGUUUAAAAAGCUCAUAGUUGGAUCUGUUUGAGUGCUACGGAGAAAACAAUAUAGAGGCUACGGCUGAAAUAUUGCGUACUGCUCAUCCUUCGCAUCGAUUAGUCAGUUUGCACUUAAUUGUGUCGAACUGACAAAUUGGUGUUUUCACUUUGAGUAAAUUAGAGUGUUCAAAGCAUCCUUUGGGAUUGCAUAAUAAAGCAUGGAAUAAUGGAGAAUGACCUGCAUAUUGUUGUGCCGGUGGCUUGAUAUGCGGUAAUGAUUGAAAGGAACAGACGGGGGCAUUUGUAUUGCUACGUUAGAGGUGAAAUUCUUGGAUCGUAGCAAGACAAACUACUGCGAAAGCAUUUGCCAAGAAUGUUUUCAUUAAUCAAGAACGAAAGUUAGAGUAUUAAAGAGGAUUAGAUACCCUCGUAAUUCUAACCAUAAACUAUACCUGCUUACGAUUUGUCAAAGUCCUAUUCGACUUGACAAGGAAUUAACCGGGAAACCAAAGUUCUUUGGUUCCGGGGGAAGUAUGGUUGCAAAAUCGAAACUUAAAGGAAUUGACGGAAGGGCACCACCAGGAGUGGAGCCUGCGGCUUAAUUUGACUCAACACGGGAAAGCUCACCCGGUCCAGACAUUUUAAGGAUUGACAGAUUGAUUAUCUUUCAUGAUUAUAUGGGCGGUGGUGCAUGGCCGUUCUUAGUUAGUGGAGUGAUCUGUCUGGUUAAUUCCGAUAACGAACGAGAUCUCAUCCAUCUAACUAGUUAUUAUCACUUUAUGUGGUAAAGAACUUCUUAGAGGAACUAUGUGGAAUUAAAUACCACAAGUGAAGUGAGGCUAUAACAGGUCUGUGAUGCCCUUAGAUGUUCUGGACUGCACGCGCGCUACACUGAACUAUGUUAAAUUGAGCUGCCAACCUUGGCCUAUAUGGUCCGGGUAAUCAACUAAAAUAGUUGGAUUGUUCAGGGGAUCGACUAUUGUAAUUUGUAGUCGUGAACCAGGAAUUCCUCGUAAUCUGGAUUCAACAAAUCCAAGUGAUUACGUCCCUGCCCUUUGUACACACCGCCCGUCGCUACUACUGAUUGGAUGAUUAAGCAAGAACCUCGAACUCUCUAUGCUGAUACUUCGGUUGACGCACUGAGCUGAAGAGGAUCAAGCUUAUUUGUCUAGAGGAAGUAAAAGUCGUAACAAGGA